GAACUCGGAUAUAGCUGGUUCUCCUCGAAAUAGCUUUAGGGCUAGCCUCAAGGUAAAGAUACACGGGGGUAGAGCACUGACUGUUCGCGGGGCCUUCACCGGUUACCAACAACUAUCAAACUCCGAAUACCGUGCUAUCAUACUUGGGAGUCAGACUAUGAGAGAUAAGUUCCAUGGUCGAAAGGGAAACAGCCCAGAUCAACAGCUAAGGUCCCAAAGAGUAAGUUAAGUGGAAAAGGAUGUGGGAUUGCACAAACAGCUAGGAUGUUGGCUUAGAAGCAGCCAUACAUUUAAAGAGUGCGUAAUAGCUCACUAGUCGAGUGAUCCUGCGCCGAAGAUAAACGGGGCUCAAACUUACCACCGAAGCUUUGGAAUUAGUAUAACUAAUUGGUAGAGGAGCAUUCUAUACAGGUAGAAGGAGGCGCGUAAGCAAAUCUGGACGGUAUAGAAGAGAGAAUGUUGGCAUGAGUAGCGUAAGGCGGGUGAGAAUCCCGUCCGCCGAAAAUCUAAGGUUUCCUGAGGAAGGUUCGUCCUCUCAGGGUAAGUCGGGACCUAAGCCGAGAGCGAACGCUGUAGGCGAUGGACAACAGGUUGAUAUUCCUGUACCACCAAGGAUUGUUUGAAUGAAGUGGGGACACAGAAGGAUAGAUUGAGCACGCCGUUGGUUGAGCGUGUCCAAGCAGUAAGGCUUGAAAGUAGGCAAAUCCGCUUUCUACAAGGCUGAGCUGUGAUGGGGUGGUCGAAUGACCGGUAGCAAUCGAUUUCACGCUGUCAAGAAAAGCCGCUAAUGAGAUCCAAGGUGCCCGUACCGCAAACCGACACAGGUAGAUGAGGAGAGAAUCCUAAGGUGAGCGAGAGAACUAUUGUUAAGGAACUCGGCAAAAUAACCCCGUAACUUCGGGAGAAGGGGUGCCUGCUUCGGCAGGCCGCAGUGAAGAGGUCCAGGCAACUGUUUACCAAAAACACAGGUCUCUGCUAAAGCGAAAGCUGAUGUAUAGGGGCUGACGCCUGCCCGGUGCUGGAAGGUUAAGGGGAAGUGUUAGGGCAACCGAAGCACAGAACUUAAGCCCCAGUAAACGGCGGCCGUAACUAUAACGGUCCUAAGGUAGCGAAAUUCCUUGUCGGGU
RNAcentral lists this ribosomal RNA (1127 nucleotides) under human metagenome. RNAcentral describes it as "bacterial LSU rRNA". It matches the Rfam family "Bacterial large subunit ribosomal RNA", at positions 835 to 1977 of the family's 2925-position model. The record is from RNAcentral.